This 1431-nucleotide ribosomal RNA is filed under the name metagenome. RNAcentral describes it as "bacterial SSU rRNA". It matches the Rfam family "Archaeal small subunit ribosomal RNA". The record is from RNAcentral.
UCCCGUUGAUCCUGCGGGAGAUUGCUGCUAUUAGAGUUCGACUAAGCCAUGCAAGUCAGGUUACCUUGUGUAGCCGGCAAAAUGCUCAGUAACACGUCGAUAAUCUGCCCUUAGGUCUAGAAUAACCUUGGGAAACUGAGGCUAAUACUGGAUAGGGGAAUAUUUCUGGAAUGAAUUUUCCCUUAAAGAUUACGCCUAAGGAUGGGACGGCGGCCGAUUAGGUAGUUGGCGGUGUAAUGGACCACCAAGCCGAAGAUCGGUAGAGGCCUUGAGAGAGGGAGCCUCGAGAAGGGCACUGAGAUACUGGCCCUAGCCCUACGGGGUGCAGCAGGCGCGAAACCUUUACAAUGCACGAAAGUGUGAUAAGGGGACUCUAAGUGCUUAUGCUUUGCAUAGGCUUUUGCCAAAUGUAAACAUUUUGGCGAAUAAGUGGUGGGAAAGACGGGUGCCAGCCGCCGCGGUAACACCUGCGCCACAAGUGGGAAUCAUUUUUAUUGGGCCUAAAGCGUCCGUAGCCGAUUCAAUAAAUCUUCUGUGAAAUUGCUGUGCUUAACACAGCAACGUGCAGAAGACACUGUUGGAAUAGGAACUGGGAGGAGUCAGAAGUAUUUCUGGGGGAGCGGUAAAAUGCUAUAAUCCCGGGAGGACUACCUGUGGCAAAAGCGUCUGACUAGAACAGAUUCGACGGUGAGGGACGAAAGCUAGGGGAGCAAUCCGGAUUAGAUACCCAAGUAGUCCUAGCCAUAAACGCUGCGAGCUAGGUGUUGCACAUUCUUCGUGAAUGUGCAGUGUCGUAGAGAAGUCGCUAAGCUCGCCGCCUGGGAAGUAUAGUCGCAAGACCGAAACUUAAAGGAAUUGGCGGGGGAGCACUACAAGGGGUGCGGCGUGCGGUUUAAUCUAAUUCAACGCAGAGAACCUCACCAGAAGCGACGGCAGGAUGAAAGUCAGUCUGAAGGGCUUACUUGACGAGCCGAGAGGUAGCGCAUGGCCGCCGUCAGCUCAUGCCGUAAGGUGUCCUGUUAAGUCAGGCAACGAGCGAGACCUGUACCUACAAUUGCUAACAACUAGUAAUAGGAUUGAGCACAUUGUAGGAACUGCCUUCGAAAGGAGGAGGAAGGUGCAGGCUACGGUAGGUCUGUAUGCUCCGAAUCUUCUGGGCUACACGCGCGCAACAAUGGUAAGGACAGUGGGAUGCAACUCCGAAAGGAGAAGCUAAUCCUCGAAACCUUAUCUUAGUUCAGAUUGAGGUUUGCAACUCAGCCUCAUGGCGCUGGAAUCCCUAGUAAUCAGACGUUAGCAUCGUCCGGUGAAUAUGUCCCUGCUCCUUGCACACACCGCCCGUCAAACCACCUGAGUAGGGUCUAGAUGAGGCCUAAUUUUUAAUUAGUUCGAAUCUAGGCUUUGCGAGGAGGGUUAAGUCGUCACAAGGUA